This 443-nucleotide ribosomal RNA is filed under the name uncultured bacterium. RNAcentral's name for it is "partial 16S ribosomal RNA". It matches the Rfam family "Bacterial small subunit ribosomal RNA", at positions 338 to 795 of the family's 1533-position model. The record is from RNAcentral.
CCUACGGGAGGCAGCAGUGGGGAAUAUUGGGCAAUGGGCGCAAGCCUGACCCAGCAACGCCGCGUGAAGGAAGAAGGCUUUCGGGUUGUAAACUUCUUUUAUCAGGGACGAAGCAAGUGACGGUACCUGAUGAAUAAGCCACGGCUAACUACGUGCCAGCAGCCGCGGUAAUACGUAGGUGGCAAGCGUUAUCCGGAAUCAUUGGGCGUAAAGAGUUCGUAGGCGGCACGUAAAGUCUGGUGUUAAAGGCAGAGGCUCAACUUCUGUACGGCACUGGAUACUUGCGAGCUAGAAUGCGGUAGAGGUAAAGGGAAUUCCUGGUGUAGCGGUGAAAUGCUUAGAUAUCAGGAGGAACAUCGGUGGCGUAAGCGCUUUACUGGGCCGUAAUUGACGCUGAGGAACGAAAGCCAGGGUAGCAAAUGGGAUUAGAUACCCUAGUAGUC